Molecule: ribosomal RNA, 1261 nt
Filed under: metagenome
Description: bacterial SSU rRNA
Rfam family: Bacterial small subunit ribosomal RNA
Source: RNAcentral
GCUGCGAUGGUUAGCUGGUCUGAGAGGAUGAUCAGCCACACUGGAACUGAAACACGGUCCAGACUCCUACGGGAGGCAGCAGUGAGGAAUUUUGCGCAAUGGGGGAAACCCUGACGCAGCAACGCCGCGUGAGUGAAGAAGGCUUUCGGGUCGUAAAGCUCUGUCAAGUGGGAAAAAGAUUUCAAGGUCAAUAGCCUUGGAAAUUGAUGGUACCACUGGAGGAAGCACCGGCUAACUCCGUGCCAGCAGCCGCGGUAAUACGGAGGGUGCAAGCGUUGAUCGGAAUUAUUGGGCGUAAAGAGCGUGUAGGCGGUAUGGUAAGUCAGAUGUGAAAGCCCUGGGCUCAACCCAGGAAGUGCAUUUGAUACUGCCAUACUUGAGUAUGGGAGAGGAGAGUGGAAUUCCCAGUGUAGAGGUGAAAUUCGUAGAUAUUGGGAGGAACAUCCGUGGCGAAGGCGACUCUCUGGACCAAUACUGACGCUGAGACGCGAAAGCGUGGGGAGCAAACAGGAUUAGAUACCCUGGUAGUCCACGCCGUAAACGAUGAGAACUAGGUGUAGCGGGUAUUGACCCCUGCUGUGCCGAAGUUAACGCAUUAAGUUCUCCGCCUGGGGAGUACGGCCGCAAGGCUAAAACUCAAAGGAAUUGACGGGGACCCGCACAAGCGGUGGAGCAUGUGGUUUAAUUCGACGCAACGCGAAGAACCUUACCUGGAUUUGACAUCCUCUGACAACCUUGGAAACAAGGCCUUUCCGACUUGUCGGAACAGAGUGACAGGUGCUGCAUGGCUGUCGUCAGCUCGUGUCGUGAGAUGUUGGGUUAAGUCCCGCAACGAGCGCAACCCUUGUUUUUAGUUGCCACUAUUAAGUUAGGCACUCUAAAGAUACUGCCUCGGUUAACGGGGAGGAAGGUGGGGAUGACGUCAAGUCCUCAUGGCCUUAUAUCCAGGGCUACACACGUGCUACAAUGGACUGUACAAAGGGUCGCGACAUCGCGAGGUGAAGCUAAUCUCAAAAAACAGUUCUCAGUUCGGAUUGGAGUCUGCAACUCGACUCCAUGAAGUUGGAAUCGCUAGUAAUCGUGGAUCAGCAUGCCACGGUGAAUACGUUCCCGGGUCUUGUACACACCGCCCGUCACACCACGAAAGUCGGCUGUACCAGAAGUUGCUGGGCUAACCUCUUCGGAGGAGGCAGGUACCUAAGGUACGGUCGGUAAUUGGGGUGAAGUCGUAACAAGGUAGCCGUAGGGGUUCCUGUGGCUG